RNAcentral lists this unclassified non-coding RNA (202 nucleotides) under Hevea brasiliensis (rubber tree). Lineage: Eukaryota; Viridiplantae; Streptophyta; Magnoliopsida; Malpighiales; Euphorbiaceae. The record is from RNAcentral.
GAAAGGUAUAUUUUCGUCUCCAGAAAUGUUCUAUAUCAACUUCAAACAUUAAAAACUUUGUAAUUUUCGACUCUCGAAUUUCGAAACAAGUGAAUCAAAAUAAUGACAGUAGCCUUCAAAGCAAUUACUUCAAACUGUAGUUACCUAUCAAAAAACAAAAGUUUUUGCUCAGUUCAACUGAAAACUCAACAGGGAGAGAUCU